CGGACGGGUGAGUAACACGUGGAUAACCUACCUAUAAGACUGGGAUAACUUCGGGAAACCGGAGCUAAUACCGGAUAAUAUAUUGAACCGCAUGGUUCAAUGGUGAAAGACGGUUUUGCUGUCACUUAUAGAUGGAUCCGCGCCGCAUUAGCUAGUUGGUAAGGUAACGGCUUACCAAGGCAACGAUGCGUAGCCGACCUGAGAGGGUGAUCGGCCACACUGGAACUGAGACACGGUCCAGACUCCUACGGAGGCAGCAGCU
RNAcentral lists this ribosomal RNA (262 nucleotides) under uncultured Staphylococcus sp. RNAcentral describes it as "partial 16S ribosomal RNA". It matches the Rfam family "Bacterial small subunit ribosomal RNA", at positions 99 to 355 of the family's 1533-position model. The record is from RNAcentral. Lineage: Bacteria; Bacillati; Bacillota; Bacilli; Caryophanales; Staphylococcaceae.